RNAcentral lists this small nucleolar RNA (107 nucleotides) under Corchorus olitorius. RNAcentral's name for it is "Plant small nucleolar RNA R71". It matches the Rfam family "Plant small nucleolar RNA R71". Rfam says of the family: R71 is a member of the C/D box family of snoRNAs containing the C (UGAUGA) and D (CUGA) box motifs. Multiple nearly identical copies of this snoRNA have been identified in Arabidopsis, and it is thought to function as a 2'-O-ribose methylation guide for 18S ribosomal RNA. The record is from Rfam by way of RNAcentral. Lineage: Eukaryota; Viridiplantae; Streptophyta; Magnoliopsida; Malvales; Malvaceae.
AUUCCAUGGUGUGGGCAUGAAGCAACUAGUCUAUUGAAUCUUUCCCUAUAUUCAUAUAAGCUCUCAUAAGAAUUUUUUCAGAUUCCACUGAUUUCCUUUCUGAUGUU